This is a non-coding RNA of Xylariaceae sp. FL0255, 79 nucleotides long. The record is from the annotation of a GenBank genome assembly. NCBI's taxonomy places the organism in Eukaryota, Fungi, Ascomycota, Sordariomycetes, Xylariales, Xylariaceae.
CGCCUCGUGGGGUAGUGGUCAUCCUUGCGCAUGAGUCAUCUAGAAGCCGCAGACUCUGGUUCGAUUCCAGACGAGGCCG